This is a long non-coding RNA of Diceros bicornis minor, 350 nucleotides long. RefSeq lists it as uncharacterized. NCBI's taxonomy places the organism in Eukaryota, Metazoa, Chordata, Mammalia, Perissodactyla, Rhinocerotidae. The transcript is spliced from 3 exons. The record is from RefSeq and is a predicted model, not a curated record.
GGGAUGUGACCAGCAAGAACCUGUUGAGGGAGGAGAAGCCUGACUUCUUGGAGUUCCCUCCCCGGCUGGUGGCAGAGCAGUUGACACUGAUGGAUGUGGAUCUCUUCAAGAAAGUGAUGCCCCACGACUUCCUGGACUCCAUCUGGUCCCAGUGUGACAACAGGGGUAAUGAGCACCUGGCACCCACCAUCCAUGCCAACACGACCCACUUUAAUACAAUGGUCGAAUGUGUCGUCACCACCUGCAUUGGGGACCCGAGCAUGACGGUCCAGGACAGGGCCAGGGUGGUGGAGCUCUGAAUCCACAUGGCCAGGGAAGAACUGGACAAAACUUAAAAAGUUGAUGAAAAC